Molecule: small nuclear RNA, 95 nt
Filed under: Rhinopithecus bieti (black snub-nosed monkey)
Lineage: Eukaryota; Metazoa; Chordata; Mammalia; Primates; Cercopithecidae
Source: RNAcentral
GUGUUCAAUUAGACAGCAUAUCGACUAAAAUUGGAAUAAUACAGAGAAGGCUAGGAAAAAAUGGCAUGCAAAUUUGUGAAGCAUUCCAUAUUUUU